GAUCAUGGCUCAGGACGAACGCUGGCGGCGUGCCUAACACAUUCAAGUCGAACGGAACUGUUUUGAAAGAUUUCUUCGGAAUGAAUUUGAUUUAGUUUAGUGGCGGACGGGUGAGUAACGCGUGAGUAACCUGCCUUCAAGAGGGGGGAUAACAUUCUGAAAAGAAUGCUAAUACCGCAUGACAUAUCGGAACCACAUGGUUCUGAUAUCAAAGAUUUUAUCGCUUGAAGAUGGACUCGCGUCCG
RNAcentral lists this ribosomal RNA (245 nucleotides) under uncultured bacterium. RNAcentral's name for it is "partial 16S ribosomal RNA". It matches the Rfam family "Bacterial small subunit ribosomal RNA", at positions 15 to 239 of the family's 1533-position model. The record is from RNAcentral.